Molecule: transfer RNA, 71 nt
Filed under: Marmota monax (woodchuck)
Lineage: Eukaryota; Metazoa; Chordata; Mammalia; Rodentia; Sciuridae
Description: tRNA.Ala
Rfam family: tRNA
About the family: Transfer RNA (tRNA) molecules are approximately 80 nucleotides in length. Their secondary structure includes four short double-helical elements and three loops (D, anti-codon, and T loops).
Source: RNAcentral
GGGGCUGUAGCUCAGUGGCAGAGCGCUUGCCUAGCUUGCGGGAGGCACUGGGUUCCAUCCCCAGCACCACA